GGUCUGGGGCUUGAAAGAUGGGUGGGGUGGGGGUUGGGGCUUAUGGGGAGGCACUGUAUGACCUGUGGUACACACACAACCGCAAACGUGACCGCAGCCGCGUUUGGCUUUAACCCUCUCUUGUCAGGGAGCUUUCUAAAACGGCAUGACAGCUGUGAAUGUACGAUAUGCAGCCUUUUUAGAAACAUCACCCCUGCCGUCGUCCAGCAGGCCGGGCCAGAGGCACAGACACGCAGGUUGUCGUUCUCACUCUCGCUCUUUUUCUUUACAGCUCUUCUUUUUGUGUUUUAACUUGCUUUGGCGAGCUGGCCGGCCGCCCUGCGAGCACGCUGGACGCGCAGGUCCCCCGGUGUCCCCUUUGUGCUUUACUUUGGAGACCGCGGAAGCUUGUUGCCUUAAUUUGUCACCAUUCAGACAUCACCCAUCAGCUUCAUCUUCCAGACGCAAGCAUCAAGUGCAGGUUUCCCUCCAGCUGGUUCGCUUUCGCAGUGCUGUUGUCAGCAGAGCAUCACGGUCGCUGGGACAUCCGUAAGCCGACCGCAGCCUGAGGCCGAAACUUGUCAAGAUGAUAGUAACCUUUUUAUUUUACUUCCAAGGAUUGGUGUUUCUAGGUUUUGUGGGGUGUUGCUAGACAUUAAUAUACAGUACCAGGAAAACACACUUACACACAUCGCUGAGGGUGUACUGUGUUGUUAGUCAUAUCACAUGGUGGUUGGAUAGCUUAGGCUUUUUCUUGUUUGUUUUCUGUUGAUCUGGUUUUCUCGUCAUGUACACUGAUUUAAUAAUGUAGUCUGGAGCAUUAGCUGGGAAUCUUUGCUUUGAUAUUCAUUCCUUUUACAUCACUACCAAUAAUAACUAGCUGUUACAUUGUGGUUGAAAAAAAUAUCCUAGAUAGGAUUUUGAACAGAUUUUGGGAGUCGGAAAGGCGAAACAAAUGUAUCUGCAACACACAAACCAGCAGGGUUGACAGAGUAUCCAGGUCUGAUUAAACAAAAGUUGAUAAAACGUGUUCUGCCUUUGGGACUGAACAGAAAAGAGGG
Scatophagus argus is the source of this 1040-nucleotide long non-coding RNA. RefSeq lists it as uncharacterized. Lineage: Eukaryota; Metazoa; Chordata; Actinopteri; Scatophagidae. The record is from RefSeq and is a predicted model, not a curated record. The transcript is spliced from 2 exons.